Phascolarctos cinereus (koala) is the source of this 954-nucleotide non-coding RNA. Lineage: Eukaryota; Metazoa; Chordata; Mammalia; Diprotodontia; Phascolarctidae. The record is from RefSeq and is a predicted model, not a curated record.
ACGGCAAAAUUAACAUUCCCGACCAAAUGGGCCGAAGCUAAGAAUGACUUCAGAACUGCUAUGACUGCUUCCCCAUUCCAAUGGUUGGCUGGGACCAGCUCCAAGUGCCCUUUGACUGCUCACCAUACCUUUCUGUCUUUAUCAGUAAAUCAAGGAUCAGCCUUUUCCCAUUACCUACUUGACCAGCUACUCCCAUUAUUUGAUUCUGUUUCUCAUUCUAGGCUAGCUCUGUUGAUGGACUGAAGCCUUAUCUAAGAUGAAGUCUAUAGAUGCUUCCUGGUCACAGCAUAGGGUUGCUCAAGUUGUUAAGGUCUCUCUUGCUGCCUGUGACUUACAUCAGCUAGCCUACUCUUCCCUGCCCUGUGGGGCUUCUUGGUUUGGGAUGACUUGCCUGGACCUUGGACCUCCCACUUCACUCCACCCUUCAGCAUUUGAGUCUUGCUUCCCAUGAUACUUCUAAUCUCUUAUCUCUUGCCUGCGCUGGCCUCCAAUAUCCUCAAUGCCUUCAGUCUGGCUUGUCUGCCUAGUUUCUGAAGCGUUGCUAUGAUGUGCUGUGUCAUCCCUGCAUGUACUCUGUGUGCAGACUCCUAUUCUUCAGCACUGUCUGACUACAGGGGUCAAGGUCUUUCUCGGAUCAAGUACGUCCCACUUGCAUGGGAUUUCAACAAGUUGUCAGUCUGCUGUCGCUCCAUAUUGCCUGCAAACCUGAAGAUGGACAGAUUCCUUUAGGUCAUCACUGCUCUACAGUGCCUUCAAGCAGGGACCUCCAAGCCAUGCCUGAGAAAGAGCGACUUUUCAUUUGCCUAUUGCUCUCCACAGGCAAGAGGAUGACAGGAUCAGAGACGUGGAGUGGGAAGGGAAUGCCCUCAUUCUCCAGGCUCCCCAAAACACCACUUACUUCCCACCACUGAGACUCAGGGUCGCCUCUCAACAAUUCGAUCACAUCGCCUGUUU